Non-coding RNA from Lolium perenne, 1824 nucleotides. The record is from RefSeq and is a predicted model, not a curated record. Lineage: Eukaryota; Viridiplantae; Streptophyta; Magnoliopsida; Poales; Poaceae.
CAUCCACGGCAAGUCGAAUCUCGAAUGGCAUGUAUUUAUAUGGAUUUGAGGUGAACCGACUGAUUCUGCCUUGCUGUCAUAUCAUUGAAGUGUCACGUGCCUAAGGUUUCAGACUUGCAAUGGUUAUGACAGAUUUAGUGAUAGCUGACCAUAUGGCCUGUGACAUUCAACGUGUGGUGGAAAAGAACUUACCUCCAUGGUUGAUGCGUAUUAGUGCCCUAGGCGUCCAACUACAUGAGCUGAUCCAAGUAACAUACUGCUUGGCGGCGUGCUGCGGAAUAGGCCGUGCCUCCUCUUCCCCCCAAUCGCCGCCUCCUCUCCUCCUCCCCGAUCCGCGGCGUACAGAGUAGGCAGGUGGAGCAGCACGACCCCGGGCUCCAGACCGUGCAGAAGAGAUGAGGGGACAGAGGUGGCUCAAGCGGAGGACGACGGGCAUGAGCGAGCGACGGCGCGCGUGGAGGAGGUACGUGUGGUGGCCGGACAAGCGGGCGAGGAUGGCCAGGCCACAACAAGAUUCACCUUCAGGGCCAAAUAAAAGAAGUUUUCUAUUCAUGGUAGAAGCACAGUUUUAUUAGGGAAAUGAUUUCUAUUAUACAAUGAAUUCUUGAGGUACAGGUGGCUCUGAGUGCAUAUAAUCUGUGUUGAUGUAUUUAGCCAUGGCGUUUAUGUCACAUGUAUGGUACAGUCGUAUUCAGCCAAGCUUUGCAGGCUUUUUUUCACUAAUAUCAAGAUAAAGAAGUUGUCCGGCAUGGUCGCUUUAAUACGAAAGAUCGUGUUAAUUUGGUCGAUGCACAAUUGCAGAAGAUAAAGAACUUUUCCGGCAUGUUAGCUUCAAUAAUAAGGAAUAUGACAGAAGCUAUAUUGCUGAAGAUGCCUACGGUUCAACAGCUUAUGAUGAUUUACUUCAGCAGCUUAUGAUGUCUAUGGGAGGUUGGUGCAGUGUGUGACGGGAAGAAAUGAGGUGAAGCUUCUCCCAAUCGUCUGGCGGUGAGGAGGACGCGAGUUGGAGGUGGAUUGAGCUCGAUGGCCAGGAGGGGCCGUUAACUGAUUGGGGAGUUUGGUGCAGCGUGUGAUGGCAGGAAACGAGGGUUGACAAGAUAUCUAAUAUCUGAAUCCAUAAAUCAGGGCUCUAUGUAAAUCCGGAAUGAUGUUUGGUACAUGCCGGGCAAUGGAGAAUCAUUGUUAAAGGUGAUAUUGCAGGCAUCAUCAUGGCCACAUCAAAGGUCCUAAACUCUAGCUAUUUUUUGUUGCUCAUCAUGCCUUGUCUUAUGAAUUAGUAGUGAUCCUGUAAGGCAUGAAUCAACAGGAAAAAUUAUAGAAAGGAAAAUAAUAGCGAGAAGGAGGGUCCACAGCUACUGCCUUCCCCAAGAAGGCCAUCUUUGAGGCUAGAUCAGCAAGGUCACCGUCUACAGAGGACUCAUUUUUUGCCUCACAAUUUCAUUUCUACAGUUGGUGAAGAACCGUUUGGGAUCCUCAUUUUAACUGAAAGUUUCACUAAAUCCAUUAAAGGCUGUCAGGUAUCUUCUAGCUGUGCAGUGAUGUGUUGCAGUAUAGGCUUUUCUUAGCUGAGUUUUAGUUCUAACAUAUAUUGGUUCUAAUGCAACACAGUUUUUAGAAAUGGAGAUUAAUAGUUGCUUUGCUCUUAGAAAUGAUGAUUUAUAUAUUUGUUUCCUGCAAGAUAUUGAAGCCCUAGAACUAUAGGAGUGCAGCUUGCACGAAUAAAUAAGGUUAAUAACCAGUUCCUGCUGCUUUGAUUCUUUGACUAAUAAACAUGCCUGUAAAUGUUUAUUCAUGUCAAAUGCAAGACACGUUUAAGACAGCUCA